CGAAAGCCUGACGGAGCAAUACCGCGUGAGGGACGAAGGUCUGUGGAUUGUAAACCUCUUUUGUUAGGGAAGAUAAUGACGGUACCUAACGAAUAAGCAUCGGCUAACUCCGUGCCAGCAGCCGCGGUAAGACGGAGGAUGCAAGCGUUAUCCGGAAUUAUUGGGCGUAAAGCGUACGUAGGCUGUUAGAUAAGUCUGUUGUCAAAGAGCGAGGCUUAACCUCGUAAAGGCAAUGGAAACUGUCUGACUAGAGAGAGAAAGGGGCAGGAGGAAUUCCAGGUGUAGCGGUGAAAUGCGUAGAUAUCUGGAAGAACACCAGUGGCGAAAGCGUCCUGCUGGAUCUCAACUGACGCUGAAGUACGAAAGCUAGGGGAGCGAAUGGGAUUAGAUACCCCAGUAGUCCUAGCCGUAAACGAUGGGUACUAGGUGUUGGCCGUAUCGACCCGGUCAGUGCCGUAGCUAACGCGUUAAGUACCCCGCCUGGGGAGUACGGUCGCAAGAUUGAAACUCAAAGGAAUUGACGGGGGCCCGCACAAGCGGUGGAGUAUGUGGUUUAAUUCGAUGCAACGCGAAGAACCUUACCAAGGCUUGACAUGUCGUGAAUCCUCUUGAAAGGGAGGAGUGCCUUCGGGAGCACGAACACAGGUGGUGCAUGGCUUCUCAGCUC
RNAcentral lists this ribosomal RNA (667 nucleotides) under uncultured cyanobacterium. RNAcentral's name for it is "bacterial SSU rRNA". It matches the Rfam family "Bacterial small subunit ribosomal RNA", at positions 376 to 1061 of the family's 1533-position model. Lineage: Bacteria; Bacillati; Cyanobacteriota. The record is from RNAcentral.